RNAcentral lists this ribosomal RNA (260 nucleotides) under uncultured bacterium. RNAcentral describes it as "partial 16S ribosomal RNA". It matches the Rfam family "Bacterial small subunit ribosomal RNA", at positions 96 to 354 of the family's 1533-position model. The record is from RNAcentral.
UGGCGGACGGGUGAGUAACGCGUGGAAAACCUGCCGUAUACUGGGGGAUAACACGUUAGAAAUAGGUGCUAAUACCGCAUAAGCGCACAGCUUCGCAUGAAGCGGUGUGAAAAACUCUGGUGGUAUACGAUGGUUCCGCGUCUGAUUAGCUAGUUGGUGGGGUAAUGGCCUACCAAGGCAACGAUCAGUAGCCGGCCUGAGAGGGUGAACGGCCCACAUUGGGACUGAGACACGGCCCAAACUCCUACGGAAGGCAGCAG